Molecule: non-coding RNA, 219 nt
Organism: Pelobates cultripes (western spadefoot toad)
Lineage: Eukaryota; Metazoa; Chordata; Amphibia; Anura; Pelobatidae
Source: the annotation of a GenBank genome assembly
UGUAGUUUUCCCCGAGUUCUGAAUGUACCCCAAAACAAGCAGUUACAAUAGUACUGAGGGUACCCCCUGAUAGCCCUGAUCUGGGUGACUAACAUAUCCAAAAUUCACCCAGAUCAGACCAGGGGUUCGGGAGUUAGGUGGAGGAUGUAUUUUGACCGACCGCACACGAGGUGGUAUCCGAAAAGGGUUCCAUGGAUUUUGGCCCUGCGGUCGGUCUUC